This 130-nucleotide ribosomal RNA is filed under the name Thermus tengchongensis. RNAcentral's name for it is "partial 16S ribosomal RNA". It matches the Rfam family "Bacterial small subunit ribosomal RNA", at positions 1 to 132 of the family's 1533-position model. The record is from RNAcentral. Lineage: Bacteria; Thermotogati; Deinococcota; Deinococci; Thermales; Thermaceae.
UUUAUUGGAGAGUUUGAUCCUGGCUCAGGGUGAACGCUGGCGGCGUGCCUAAGACAUGCAAGUCGAGCGGGCCGUGGGGAAUCUCACGGUCAGCGGCGGACGGGUGAGUAACGCGUGGGUGACCUACCCG